CUACGGGUGGCUCCAGUGAGGAAUAUUGCACAAUGGGGGGAACUCUGAUGCAGCAACGCCGCGUGGAGGAUGACACUUUUCGGAGCGUAAACUCCUUUUAUAUAGGAAGAAGAUGACGGUACUAUAUGAAUAAGCGCCGGCUAACUCCGUGCCAGCAGCCGCGGUAAUACGGAGGGCGCAAGCGUUACUCGGAAUCACUGGGCGUAAAGAGCGUGUAGGCGGAUUAAAAAGUCAGAAGUGAAAUCCUAUAGCUUAACUAUAGAACUGCUUCUGAAACUCUUAAUCUAGAAUAUGGGAGAGGUAGAUGGAAUUUCUAGUGUAGGGGUAAAAUCCGUAGAGAUCAGAAGGAAUACCGAUUGCGAAGGCGAUCUACUAGAACAUUAUUGACGCUGAGACGCGAAAGCGUGGGGAGCAAACAGGAUUAGAUACCCCAGUAGUC
Molecule: ribosomal RNA, 439 nt
Filed under: uncultured bacterium
Lineage: Bacteria
Description: partial 16S ribosomal RNA
Rfam family: Bacterial small subunit ribosomal RNA
Source: RNAcentral